AGCAUGACCAACUGAAGUGCAAAACUAGGCCCUUAGAUGAGAUAAUAAGCUUCUGCAUGAACUGCUACGAUUGUUAGAAAAUUGCACACGGGAAAAGGGUGAAAUGCAUGUAGGCUUGGGAAGCAUCGGGAGUGGAUCCGACACGCAACAACGGAUGGAUGGUGCCGGGAGUGUAGGAGUGACUGCUGCUUAAGGCGUUUUGGGGAGAUGUCACUUGAUUGGCCAGCGUUGCAGGUGCACUAUGUGCACCAGUUCGGUAUCUGCGAUUGGGGAAAUGCGAAAGAACGGUACAAGCUGAUCGGCUGGAGUAGAAGAUGCAGCUGAACGUAGAGAGGAAUGGAAGAAGAUGUCAAGACUGCUGGAGAUCGAGCUGAAGAUGUGAUCAGGGUUAAAUGUUUCGGUUUGCUGAUUUGUAUUGGGGGUGGUCGAAAUAUUAUGAAUUUUUGAAUAAAAUUUGACCAAAUUUGAACAAAA
Molecule: non-coding RNA, 474 nt
Organism: Oryza sativa Japonica Group (Japanese rice)
Lineage: Eukaryota; Viridiplantae; Streptophyta; Magnoliopsida; Poales; Poaceae
Source: RefSeq, a predicted model, not a curated record